This 253-nucleotide ribosomal RNA is filed under the name uncultured bacterium. RNAcentral's name for it is "partial 16S ribosomal RNA". It matches the Rfam family "Bacterial small subunit ribosomal RNA", at positions 524 to 776 of the family's 1533-position model. The record is from RNAcentral.
UACGGGGGGGGCAAGCGUUGUUCGGAAUUACUGGGCGUAAAGGGCUCGUAGGCGGCCAACUAAGUCGGACGUGAAAUCCCUCGGCUUAACCGGGGAACUGCGUCUGAUACUGGAUGGCUUGAGUGUGGGAGAGGGAUGCGGAAUUCCAGGUGUAGCGGUGAAAUGCGUAGAUAUCUGGAGGAACACCGGUGGCGAAGGCGGCAUCCUGGACCGGCAUUGACGCUGAGGCGCGAAAGCCAGGGGAGCAAACGGG